Molecule: long non-coding RNA, 747 nt
Filed under: Mytilus galloprovincialis (Mediterranean mussel)
Lineage: Eukaryota; Metazoa; Mollusca; Bivalvia; Mytilida; Mytilidae
Source: RNAcentral
CAUAAGCAUAAGGACCCAGCUCACGAUACAUUUGAAAAUUUACCCGUGGUCAUCAACAACAGACAGUCAUGGAAAUGGUUUGAUAAUUGUAUGGGUAAAUGGCUUUCUACUCCUAGUGUUAUAACAUUAAAACCAGGACGUACAUUAGUAAUAUUAGAAUCUGUCAAAGCAAAUGGGAUAUUGUUAGAACAAUUGAAAUUAACAUUUCUUUGGAUAAACGCAAGCGAAGAAGAACCAAUGGACAUGGACUGUGGAAAUGAACUAUGUAGUAGUAAAAGUCAGCACCAAAUAUCUGGAGGACUGCUUCCAAACCAUAGGCAAUUAUCUGGAGGCAUUCACCACCCUGGCCAAUUAUCAAGAGGCAUUCCACUUAGUUUUACCGGGAGGGGGGGAGCAAGGGGUUUAACUGUUAUGCUGUUAUGGGGCAAUUUGAUUCUUUGUUAUCUGUUAUUCUGAAAAUAUAUUUGCUGUUAGCUGUUAUUGUCUUAUUCGUUGUUAGCUGUUAUUGGACUAUUAGGUUUUUUGUUAUCUGUUAUUGUGAUAAUGUAUUUGCUGUUAACUGUUAUUGAAAAUUGGAAUAUUAGCAUUUGUUUUGACAGCCAAUAUUCGGUAAAAAAUGAAGAUUAUUGAACAUUGGGGUCUACCACUAGUAAAUAUGGUGGCCCCGUAUUCGGUGAAGGAUUUCAUAAACAUAUACCCAUCACAGAUCAUCACAUAAACAUAUUAAUAGAACGGUUGGGUCCAGGC